AAUCAACGCUGGCGGCGUGCCUAACACAUGCAAGUCGCACGAGAAAGGGACUUCGGUCCUGAGUACAGUGGCGCACGGGUGAGUAACACGUGAAUAAUCUACCUCCGAGUGGGGAAUAACUGAGAGAAAUCUUAGCUAAUACCGCAUAACACUUACGAGUCAAAGCAGCAAUGCGCUUGGAGAGGAGUUCGCGGCAGAUUAGUUAGUUGGCAGGGUAAUGGCCUACCAAGACGAUGAUCUGUAUCCGGCCUGAGAGGGCGCACGGACACACUGGAACUGAAACACGGUCCAGACUCCUACGGGAGGGCAGCAGUGGGGAAUUUUGCGCAAUGGGGGAAACCCUGACGCAGCAACGCCGCGUGGAGGAUGAAAUCCCUUGGGAUGUAAACUCCUUUCGAUCGGGAAGAUGAUGACGGUACCGAGAG
This 425-nucleotide ribosomal RNA is filed under the name uncultured bacterium. Its description in RNAcentral is "bacterial SSU rRNA". It matches the Rfam family "Bacterial small subunit ribosomal RNA", at positions 32 to 484 of the family's 1533-position model. The record is from RNAcentral.